This is a non-coding RNA of Schistocerca americana (American grasshopper), 75 nucleotides long. The record is from the annotation of a RefSeq genome assembly. NCBI's taxonomy places the organism in Eukaryota, Metazoa, Arthropoda, Insecta, Orthoptera, Acrididae.
GCCGGGGUGGCCGAGUGGUUCUAGGCGCUACAGUCUGGAACACUGCGGUCGCAGGUUCGAAUCCUGCCCCGGGCA